RNAcentral lists this ribosomal RNA (492 nucleotides) under uncultured bacterium. RNAcentral's name for it is "partial 16S ribosomal RNA". It matches the Rfam family "Bacterial small subunit ribosomal RNA", at positions 29 to 507 of the family's 1533-position model. The record is from RNAcentral.
AGUGAACGCUGGCGAUAGGCCUAACACAUGCAAGUCGAACGGCAGCACAGUAAGAGCUUGCUCUUACGGGUGGCGAGUGGCGGGCGGGUGAGGAAUACAUCGGAAUCUACUUUUUCGUGGGGGAUAACGUAGGGAAACUUACGCUAAUACCGCAUACGACCUACGGGUGAAAGCAGGGGAUCUUCUGACCUUGCGCGAUUGAAUGAGCCGAUGUCGGAUUAGCUAGUUGGCGGGGUAAAGGCCCACCAAGGCGACGAUCCGUAGCUGGUCUGAGAGGAUGAUCAGCCACACUGGAACUGAGACACGGUCCAGACUCCUACGGGAGGCAGCAGUGGGGAAUAUUGGACAAUGGGCGCAAGCCUGAUCCAGCCAUACCGCGUGGGUGAAGAAGGCCUUCGGGUUGUAAAGCCCUUUUGUUGGGAAAGAAAAGCAGCAGGUUAAUACCCCGCUGUUCUGACGGUACCCAAAGAAUAAGCACCGGCUAACCUCGUG